This 23-nucleotide microRNA is filed under the name Parasteatoda tepidariorum (common house spider). RNAcentral's name for it is "pte-miR-375-5p". Its record names the gene pte-miR-375-5p. Lineage: Eukaryota; Metazoa; Arthropoda; Arachnida; Araneae; Theridiidae. The record is from miRBase by way of RNAcentral.
GACUUGAGCUGCUCGCACAAAGC